Molecule: transfer RNA, 86 nt
Filed under: Bacillota bacterium
Lineage: Bacteria; Bacillati; Bacillota
Description: tRNA-OTHER
Source: RNAcentral
GCCGGGGUAGCACAACGGGAAGUGCAGCAGCGCAAUAGUACGGAAUUAUCCCUGCAAGGAUGCGGGUUCGAGGCCCGCCCCCGGCG